Molecule: ribosomal RNA, 433 nt
Filed under: uncultured bacterium
Lineage: Bacteria
Description: partial 16S ribosomal RNA
Rfam family: Bacterial small subunit ribosomal RNA
Source: RNAcentral
AACGAACGCUGGCGGCAGGCCUAACACAUGCAAGUCGAGCGAUACCUUCGGGUCUAGCGGCGGACGGGUGAGUAACGCGUGGGAACGUGCCCUUUUCUACGGAAUAGCCUCGGGAAACUGAGCUUAAUACCGUAUACGCCCUUUGGGGGAAAGAUUUAUCGGAGAAGGAUCGGCCCGCGUUGGAUUAGGUAGUUGGUGGGGUAAUGGCCUACCAAGCCUACGAUCCAUAGCUGGUUUGAGAGGAUGAUCAGCCACACUGGGACUGAGACACGGCCCAGACUCCUACGGGAGGCAGCAGUGGGGAAUCUUAGACAAUGGGGGCAACCCUGAUCUAGCCAUGCCGCGUGAGUGAUGAAGGCCUUAGGGUUGUAAAGCUCUUUCAGCUGGGAAGAUAAUGACGGUACCAGCAGAAGAAGCCCCGGCUAACUCCGUG